ACUGAACCCAUGGGAGUUCUACCACUGAGCUACAUCCCCAGCCCUAUUUUGUAUUUUAUUUAGAGACAAGGUCUCACUGAAAUGCUUAGGGCCUCACUUUUGCUGAGGCUGGGUUUGAACUCAGAUCCUCCUGCCUCAGCCUCCUAAGCCACUGGGAUUACAGGGGUGUGAUACCACGCCCAGCUAUUUAUCACAGUUCUUGAGGCUAGCACAGAUACAUUCUGUUUCUGUUGAGGGCCCACUUCCUCAUAGAUGGCACCUUCUUGCUGUAUCCACAUAUAGUGGAAUGAUUGAAUUCUAGAUUCUUCAUUUCUUUUUCUGGGGUGGGGCAGUGCUGGGGAUUUAACCCAGGUGCUUUACCACUGAGCCAUAUCCCCAACCCUUUUUAUUUUGAGGCAGGGUCUUGCUGAGUUAUUUAGGGCCUCACUAAAUUGCUGAGGGCGGUCUCAAACUUGCCAUCUUCUUGCCUCAGCAUCCCAAGUCACUGGGAUUACAGUUGAGCACCACUGCCACCAUACCAGGUCCUCUUUUUAUUUUUUGUUUUAAAACAGGGUUAUCACUAAGUUUCCUAGACUGGCCUUGAACUUGCAAUCCUCCUGUAGUUCAUUCCUGAACUUGCAGACUCCUGCAGAGUCUCAGCCUGCAGAGCAGCUGGGAUCAUAGGUAUGUACCACCAUACGUGGCACAAUCAAGGCUUUUUCUAACAUAUACCUCAAAAACUGUUCCAGCCUCAGGGGUGGGGAUGUGGCUCAGUGACAGAGCAUUUGCCUAGCAUGUAUGAGGCACUGAGUUUGAUCCUUAGUACCACAUAACAAAUAAAAUAAAUGCAGUCUGUCCAUUUACAACUACAAAAAAAAAAUUAACUCUUCCAGCCUCUACCCAUCACCCAGUUCCAAAGUUACAGUUCUAUAUAUUACAUUAGCACCCCACUUCCCAGUAUCAAAAUAUAUAUUAGUUUGCUAGGGUUGCCAUAAUAAAAAUGCCACAGACCAGAUGGCUUAAACAACAGAAAUUUACUUAUUUAAUUUUAUUUUUUGGUACUAGAAAUUGAACCCAGGGGCACUUUACCACUGAGCUAUAUCCACAGACCCCCCUUUUUUUCACUAUGUUGCUUGUUACUUAGGGCCUUGCUAAGUUGCUAAGGCUGGCCUUAAAUUUGCCAUUCUCCUACCUCAGUCUCCUGAGUCACCGAGAUUACAUGCCUAGGUUAUUUAUUUUUUAAAAUGAAGUUUUUACAUGAAUACCAACUUUAUUUGAUUUAUUUUAUUUGUUGUGAUGCUGGGGAUCAAACCCAGGGCCUCACAUAUACUAGGCCAGCACUCUACCACUGAGCUACAUCCCCACCCCUAGAAAUUUGAUUUAUUUAUCUAGGUACUGGGGAUUGAACUCAGGGACAUUUUGUCACUGUGUUACAUCCCCAGCCAUUUUUAUUUUUUUUAUUUUGAGACAGGGUAUCACCAUGUUGCUUAGGGCCUAAAUUGCUGAGGCUGGCCUCUAACUUAUGAUCCUCUUGCCUCAGCCUCCCAAGUUGCUGGGAUUAUAGGCAUGUACCAUUGCACCAGAGCAACAAUAUAUUUUAAAUGGAAAAAGAAAAAAGACCACUGCCAUUAUGGUCUCAUUUAACUUUAAUUACCUUCUUAAAGAUUCUAUCUCAAAUAUCUUCCACUUUAGAGGGUGGGGUUUCAACAUAAGAAUUUUCUUUCAGGGAUACACAAUUAAGUUCACAAAUUCAUUAUCACUGACCCCCCCCCCCCGAACUCAUGGGUGCCACAUCCCACACCUCACAGGGUUCCCAAUGCUCACACCACACGCCCCCCUCUCUAUUCAGCCUUUUUGACUCUGAUAAAUCAUUCCACAGACACUCUGCCCAUCAUCCACACCACAUACCCUACAACUGACCCCACAGACCUCCAUCAUUCAUACACUAUCACUCACCCUAUCACUUACCCUAGACACGUCACUCAACCAUAGUCCCCUAUCACUCACCCCACUAAAUCCUACUACUCAUCCCCAAAGUCUCCUAUACUCACCCUGAAAACCACAUAACUUAUCCCAUAAAACCCUAUCACUCACCCUACCAACCCUAUCACUGACAUCACAGAUACACCACUCAUCCUAUAGAUCCCUUAUAACUAACCCUAUAGACUCCCCAUAACUCAUCAUUUUAGGAGGGGUAUCAAGGAUUGAAACCAGGGGAACUUUACCAAUGAGCCACAUCCCACGCCCUGUUUAUUUUCAAAAUAGGGUCUCACUAAGUUGCUUAGGGCCUCACUAGUGUGCUGAGGCUGGCUUGGAAAUUGUGAUCCUCCUGCCUCAGCCUCCUGAGCCACUGGGAUUACAUAUAUGAGCCACUAUCCCUGGCCCUCUAACUCAUCUCACAGAACCCAUGCCUCAUAUCAUAGACCACCCCCAGGUUCCAUCACUGAUCCCACAGACCUCUUAUCACUCACCUUACCUAUCAUUCCAUCUGUCAACUUGCAGUUCUCCACCAUUCAUGGUAUAUAACCCAUUGGUCACCAACAGAUGCCUUAAUCACCCCAAAGACACCUGUUGCUUACUAUACAGACUGCUUUUCACACACUCAGAGUCCCUUCAUUCCACCUGCAAAUCUCCCUAAUGGCAACCUAUCACUCCAUAGAUGCUCCACACUUACCCUGUGGAACUCCUCCUCACUCACCCUGAAGACCCCAUCCCUUAUUCCAUACUCUCUAUCAUUAAGCAAUUGAUUCCUUGAAGGAUUUCAAAGAGAUGGUAAAGAAUGAAUAAUAAAAUGGCAGAUACUUGAAUACUGGUUUUAGGUGACCUGUGUAAAGCCAGACUUCAGUUCAAACUCUGGCUCUCUUCAGGCCUACAGUAUAGACUUGAAGAAAUGUCUAAUUGUUAAUGCCAAAGCCCUGCAUAAUCUGAACUCAUUUACUUUCUCAUCUAAUAUACUAUCACUCUGUUGUUUACUCACUAUAAAGGCAUGCUGAUUUUGCUCUGCCUCAAAUAUACCAGGCAUAGCCCAUCUUUCUGUCCAUUGCACUACUUAUUCUCUGUGCCACUUACUACCUGUUAACCUUGAGCUUGCUUCUCCCUGGCCUUCAAUGUCUUGUAUAUAAAAUACUACUACUAAUAAUAAUGCCUACCUCAUAGGUUUUUUUUUACAAAAUAUUUAUUUUUUAAAUUAUAGGUGGACACGCUAUCUUUAUUUUAUUUUUAUGUGGUGCUGAGGAUUGAACCUAGUGCCUCAGGCAUGCUAGGUGAGCGCUCUACCUCUGAGCCACAACUCCAGUCCCCUCAUAGGGUUUUUAUACAGUUUAAAUGAAUUGAUAUAUGUAGACGGUUUAGCAUAUACUUUAUAGUUUUUGAAUGGAAGAAUGAAUACACAAAUGAAAGAGAAAGUUCUCCCCAGGACUAUGACAAGGGUCUCCUUUUUGAUCUUCUUGCUUCCAGUAUCUUCCUGUCCAAAGUUUUCUGCAAUACCAAAACAGGAGCAUCUGACCAUACCUCUGUCUAAAACCUAUGCUCCAUGCCUUCAGGAUAAACUCCCAGCUCCAGGCUAAGGGUUUCCUCAUCCCACCCUGUGAUAACUGAAAUGAGAGGUAGGCUGUCCAACUUGUUUCCAUUAGAAAACCCAGCAGGGGCUGAAGAUGUAGCUCAGUGGUAAGUGCUAGCCUAGCAUGUACCAGUCCCUGGGUUCAAUGUCCAGCACAAAAAAAAAAGGGAAGAAAAGAAGCAGGGUGUGGUGGUAGCAGAUACCUGUAAUCUCAGCCACUCAGCAGGCUGAGGCAGGAGGAUCACAAGUUGAAAGCCAGCCCCAGCAAUUUAGUGAGGCUCUAGGCAAUUUAGUGAGACCCUGUCUCUAAAUAAAAUAUUUUAAAAAGGGCUAGAAAUGUGGCUCAGUGGCUAAGCAUCCCUGGGUUCAAUCCUUGGUAAUCUCCCCCCAAAAAAAGAAGAAAAGAAACUCCAGUGUCAUAGGAGAGUUUUUUGUUUUUAUUGUUGUUGUUUGGUUGGUUGGUUUUGAUACUGGGAAUUAAACCCAGAGGCACUUUACUACUGAGCUACAUCCCAACCCUUUUUAUUUUUCAUUUUGAGACAAGGUUCACUAAGUUGCUUAUAGCCUGGCUAUAUUGCUGAGGUUGGCUUCCCUAGUUGCUGGAAUUACAGGCAUGGGCCACUAUGCUCAGCUACCAUAGGUGUUUUUGACUCCAUGAUGUGGGACAAGAGAGACCCAUAAGUCAUCUUCUGGCUUUCAAGUAAAAGUCCCCAUUAUUUAUAGCUUCCAAAGAUAUCUAUUUAAUGUGUAUAUUUAUUUUAUUUUUAAAAACUUUUUUUUGUAUUUGGAAAUGGACAGAAUGCCUUUAUUUUAUUUGUUUAUUUUUAUGUGGUGCCUCACACAUGCUAGGCAAGUGCUCUGCCACUGAGCCAUAGCCCCAGCCCUUAUUUAAUGUACAUUUAAAAAUAUACCAAAAUAAAAUUGCAGACUUGUCUAAAAUGGCAGUGGCACACACCUAUAAUCCCAGCUACUCAGAAGGCUGGAGCAGGAGGAUGGCAUAUUCAAGGCCACCCUGGGUAAUUUAGUGAGACCCUGUUUCAAAAUGUUAAAAAUUUAAAAAUGUUGGCUGGGGCUGUAGCUCAGUGGUGGAGCGCUUGCCUCACAUACGUGAGGCGCCAGGUUCGAUCCUCAGCACCAUAUAAAAGUAAAAAUGUUAGCUAGACAUGGUGGCUCACAACUAUAGUCCUUGUGACUUAGGAGGCUGAGAUAGGAGGAUCCCAAGUUCAAAGCCUGCCUCAGCAACUGAUUGAGGCCCUAAGCCUGUAGUGAGACCUUGUAUCAAAAUUAAAAAAAAAAUAAAUAAAAAGAGGGCUGGAGAUGUGGCUCAGUGAUUAAGCACUCCUGGGUUCAAUCCCCAGUACUCUCUCAAAAAAGUUAGACUAAUAAAUAAAUAAAUAGAUAGAUAGAUAGAUAGAUAAAUAAAAGUUAGCUUAUCUAUACCAACAUUGCAUUAGGUAAAGUCCAGCCAUCUAACAAAACCCCUUGGCUAGAACUAACAUUUGUUAGGGCAAGCCUAUAUUUUGUCCAAACCACAUGGAUGCUAUGUUGUAGAAUAAAGUAGGAAGAAUACCUUUUUGCAUUUUGCCACACAUAAGUUUUCUCAAAAAAUAUCCAAAAUAUAUUCAAUCAUUUAGUUGAUGUUUAUUGGACACUUCUUAAUUUACGAUGCUGGGGACCAAACCUGGGGCCUCAUGCAUACUAGGAAAAUGCUGUAGUACUGAGUGAUACUUCUAACCUGACACACUGUUUAAUAUCAGGACUUACUUCAACAUAUUGUGAGGAUUAAAUUAAACAAAGGCAGGGCUGGGGAUAUGGCUCAAGAGGUAAUGUGCUCGCCUGGCAUGAACGGGGCACUGGGUUCAAUCCUCAGCAUCACAUAAAAACAAAAUAAAGAUGUUAUGUCCACUGAAAACUGAAAAAUAAAUAUUAAAAAAUUCUCUCUCUCUCUCUCUUUCUCUUCUCUCCCUCUCUCUCUCUAAAAAAAAAAAAAAAAUUAAAGGCAGACUUGAAAAACCUAGGACCAGUCUUAAAGGUUUAAGAAAUAAAAACCUGUUGUAAUAUAAGAAAUAAUAAGAUGGGC
RNAcentral lists this long non-coding RNA (5618 nucleotides) under Marmota monax (woodchuck). The stretch from base 4607 to 4675 matches the Rfam family "tRNA". Lineage: Eukaryota; Metazoa; Chordata; Mammalia; Rodentia; Sciuridae. The record is from RNAcentral.